Wasmannia auropunctata (little fire ant) is the source of this 2221-nucleotide long non-coding RNA. RefSeq lists it as uncharacterized. The transcript has 3 exons. Lineage: Eukaryota; Metazoa; Arthropoda; Insecta; Hymenoptera; Formicidae. The record is from RefSeq and is a predicted model, not a curated record.
GUGAAUCCGACGACUAUAGGUAUAUUCUGUAUCGUACGAAAAUUUUGAUUGCAAGGAGAAACAUGUUAAAAAUAGAGUGACGGAGAGAGAGAGAGAGAGAGAGAGAGAGAGAGACGCAUUCAUAAGAGGGAUGUAUCUGCGACUUGAGAUUAAAACCAAGAUCGGCGUGCACAGCUCGGAGAUGCAAGGACGAAUAUCAUGCAUUCAUAUGUAGAUAUCUUCCUGCCUAUUUCUCUAGCAGUCUAUAGGAUGACAUUUUCGGAAGAGGCAAAAAUUUCCAUCAAUUACAUUUCAAAAAAUCUAAAUCAAACUGAAUGGAGGAGGGAAAUGAAAGUGGAGGUAAAAUGAUGGAUCCAAGAAAUGGAAAUAUCUUGUUAUUUGCGAAAGAAGAAGAAUCCCAAUAAUCUUACGCGUCUAUAUAUGCUUUCUCAUUUUAUUGCAACGCGCGCUGGAAUAAGUUUAAUCAAAUUGGCCGACCACGCAAAGUCAACGCGUCAAGAUAAAGGUAAGCGAGAACUAUGGUCACCUUCGAGACACGCUGUGCGCCUUGGAGACACGACACGUGAAAUAUUGAUUUCAAGCUGCAUACAUUAGUAGUGCCGCGAGGAGAAACGGCGUGAUCUAGAGAAACACCGAAGUCACCCGCAAGUGAAAUGGCCAGUUCGUUCACGCAUCGUAAGCUCGCGGGGCUCGCGGGGCGAUGUAUUUUCGGUGUAUCUCGCGGUUACGAUGUAACGCGCGAUAGCGAUAGACAAUUACCCCGUUACCUUUUAGGAAGAACAACUUUCGCCUGUGGUAAACAUUUAACAAAAAGCCUUUCUGGGGGAUCCCUGUUGAGUUUCGCAAAAAACGGCAGGCAUUCAUGAUCGACAGCUCGUAAACUCCGGAAAGACGAGGUAUGGUGCCCAUAGAGUGCGACGAAGACCAAGACCGAGGUCCGGUCGGCCUCGUGUUUGCGGGAUCAAAGAGCGUUACGUGUGUGUGUGCACGUGCAGGGAAAAAGAGAGAAGAGUCGAUCCGACUAACGGUAUAGAUGCACUAUUGCGAGUGACGACGGCGGCCUUCCGCUUUCUCAGGCACUCCCAUGCAGCAAGAGAGGCCACGUGCGCUCGUUCGUUGCGCCGAUCCGUAAACAGAUAUACGUAUGUACAUACAUUCGCGAAUCACGAUCGCCGACCGAUGGAGAGGCCCCAACGAUGGAUUCGACUCUCGCACCGAAUUUCUCGCCGAGAUAUAGUUACCGCGGAUGAUUCGCGUGUAAUCGAUAGGUGCCCCAGCGGCUCUUCGCGCAACAACGAUCUCGCAACUCGUAAUCAGAAACGAAUCUUAAUCAGAAACGAAAUAUUAUAGGAGAUUCGCGAAUGCGUAAUUUGCAGCCAAGCGUGAUGGCGUUUCAGGAUUGCACGAUUAUCGCUGCGCACGGAAUUAUUUUAUUCUGCAUUGGCAGACGGCUCGAAAAUAUCGCCGUAUCUCUCGUCUGAUGCAUGCUUUCUUAUGUAUUUCAUGUGCUCCAGGCCACACUUGUUUAAUUAGCAAUUUCGAAUUUGCACCUUUCUUACAAAAAAAAAAGGACGGGCUAUCGAUCAGCUGACUGUGAGAACUUUGGCGAAUGACAGACGGGAGAGAACACAAAAAUAAAUAUAAUAAAUCGCAUACACAUAUAAAUAAACUUUAACCGUAAAAAAAUAUAUGCGCCAAAUAAAACAUCUUUUAAUUAAUUUUCAGGUGGAGUUCGGCUUUAACGGAAUUUCGAUUUGAGUGAAAUAUUUAUGCUGCUGCAGGCUGACAUUGCCCGAACGAUCCGAGACGUGGUGCUACGGGCUCUCUAGAACCUCAGAAGCCAACGAUCGAAGUUAAAUUAAAGGAUUCGCGAGCGACGGAUAUUAUCGACGCGCAGGCAUGGCUAGGGUCUCGAGUGUACGCGUGCAUUAUGCUUCGUGUUCUGCCGCGUAUUGCGAGCUCGCUUCUCGUAGUAAGUAGCUCGCGCUCUUUCCAUUCAUAAUAAUCAGAAUUUUAUCAGGAAUCUGCGACCGCUUAAUCACACUGUACUCGACGAUUAUUUAUCUUGCAGUCGACGGUAAUAUUCCUUUUAUGAAGAUACGAAAGAUACAUGCUAAUGAAUUUUUAUUUUCAGUAAAUCUCAUGCACAGAUUGCAGUUUUCGUAAUAACUUGUCUCGUAAUAUAUCUUGCAACUUGACUGUAAUAUUGUAUAUAUAUACA